This is a long non-coding RNA of Venturia canescens, 484 nucleotides long. RefSeq lists it as uncharacterized. NCBI's taxonomy places the organism in Eukaryota, Metazoa, Arthropoda, Insecta, Hymenoptera, Ichneumonidae. The record is from RefSeq and is a predicted model, not a curated record. The transcript is spliced from 2 exons.
AGGUAUCUCCCCUUUUUAUUCUAACCGUAUUUCUCUUUUUAGAUUAAUAUAACCACUAUGCCUGGCAACAAACGCACCUGGUCUUUGGUAAAUCCUAAUCCCGAUAUUACGUAUUAUAAAGUUGUUCCAGAGAAUAAAGCGUGAUGAUUACGAUGGUCCAAUUGAAAAUGUAUGGGCCGUUCCUCGGCUAGAUGAAGUAAGAAGAUGACGAGCCUUCUGUCAUCUGGCAGUGUUGAAACUGGCGACCUUCUAGGGCUGCGGCGGUUAUUUUCUAUAAGUCCAUUUCCAGGGUUGGUUGAGGUUGUGUUCUAGGAUCACCUAUGGGCUCAACUUGGGCCCCUGUGGUAUAAUGACGUGGCAAAUAUAAGUUAAAAACAAAAGUUUUGAAAUGAAAGAAAAUAAUAUUUUCUUUCUAUUCAUGUAUAUUGUAGGGAGUUAUUGAGGUGUCGUAUUUGCAAUUAAAGCGCAUAUUGCCGUUUCUAAA